GCCGAUCAGGGGAAACUAAACCAAUUUAACACAGAAAGAAGGCAGAAUGAUCUGAACCAAAGCAUUAAAGGAUCUAUUAACCAGAAGAGGAAAACACCAAAAUGUGAGACGUUUCAAUCAGAGGGUCAGCGGGGAGCUGCAGCCGAUCCCAGCCGUCACCAGCCACAGACGGGACGCUCCGCCGACAGGCCGGCAGUCCAUCACCGGGCCAACACAAGGAGACACCCGGAGGGACAGAGCUGUUGGGAAGAGUGGUGGCGAUAAAUGACGGCAGUGUUGGAAGAAAACCUGGUAGAGGCUGCAGAAGACUUGAGACUGGGGUGAAAGUUCACGUCCACCAAGACAACCAACCAGAACGCAGCUGGCUAAAACUUGAACAGCUUUAAAAGUCAUGCGACCUGGACUGAUGUAGACGACGUCACGAACCACCACAUUUCAUGCAAGAUAAAUGAAGCUCCGCAAACACUGUUCCAUUAAAAUUUUAACAGUAUCAGGCUUCACUUAUGAAGCAGGUAGAACUGCAGCCAUAGAAAAUCCUCAACAAGGUUACAUUCACAAAACAUAUGACUUCCCAGUUUUAUCCCAUCUGUAAGUCUAAAUGCUAAAGGAGAUGAGCAAUUCAGCACCGUGGAGGCAGAAAACAUCCCAGAGAGGAAGCAGUCUGCAGCUGCAGAGCAUGAAACAAAGAUUUUAUGUUGGAUUGCAGCUCCUACAAAGUGACUGACUCUACUGAGACAGACGCCUGACACGCGAGCUUCCCGUUUGUUCAGCGAUCCAGGCAGGUUGGUGACUUCAACAGGGAAGAUGUGUGCAGGAAGUGACAGCUGAAAGACAAAGAAUGCAAAACUGACACAAAGCAUAAUGCUAACGCACACCCACAACAAGAGUCAAUUUAGGAUCUCUGCUCAACACAUCAAGCAUCAUUUGGACUGGAGAAUCUGGAACAUUACAAAACAGAAACAAGAGUUAAAUCAAGGAAUUUAUGUGGCAGAUUUUGUGCCAAACAACAGGAGAUUUCUUCAAGCUUUCUAACUAAAGAAAACAACAAACUUGCUUUUUAUUUUCGCAGACUUUAAAAUUCAUCAGUGAAACAUGUUUUAGCAGCAUCUGCUUGAAUUGCAUUCCAAUAUGUCACAGAAAAUAAAAACCAGUUUGCA
Molecule: long non-coding RNA, 1157 nt
Organism: Poecilia reticulata (guppy)
Lineage: Eukaryota; Metazoa; Chordata; Actinopteri; Cyprinodontiformes; Poeciliidae
Source: RefSeq, a predicted model, not a curated record